This 468-nucleotide ribosomal RNA is filed under the name uncultured bacterium. Its description in RNAcentral is "partial 16S ribosomal RNA". It matches the Rfam family "Bacterial small subunit ribosomal RNA", at positions 28 to 507 of the family's 1533-position model. The record is from RNAcentral.
GACGAACGCUGGCGGCGUGCUUAACACAUGCAAGUCGAACGGAAAGGCCCUGCUCUUGUGGGGUGCUCGAGUGGCGAACGCGUGAGUAACACGUGAGUAACCUGCCCUUGUCUUUGUGAUAACUUCACGAAACUGGGGCUAAUACCGGAUAGGAGCUCCUGCUGCAUGGUGGGGGUUGGAAAGUUUCGGCGGUUGGGGAUAGACUCGCGGCUUAUCAGCUGGUUGGUGGGGUAGUGGUUUACCAAGGGUUUGACGGGUAGCCGGCCUGAGAGGGUGACCGGCCACAUUGGGACUGAGAUACGGACCAGUCUCCUACGGGAGGCAGCAGUGGGGAAUAUUGCACAAUGGGCGGAAGCCUGAUGCAGCAACGCCGCGUGCGGGAUGACGGCCUUCGGGUUGUAAACCGCUUUCGCCUGUGACGAAGCGUGAGUGACGGUAAUGGGUAAAGAAGCACCGGCUAACUACGUG